RNAcentral lists this ribosomal RNA (453 nucleotides) under uncultured bacterium. Its description in RNAcentral is "bacterial SSU rRNA". It matches the Rfam family "Bacterial small subunit ribosomal RNA", at positions 340 to 786 of the family's 1533-position model. The record is from RNAcentral.
UACGGAAGGCAGCAGUGGGGAAUAUUGCACAAUGGGCGCAAGCCUGAUGCAGCCAUGCCGCGUGUAUGAAAAAGGCCUUCGGGUUGUAAAGUACUUUCAGUCGUGAGGAAGGUGUUAAGGUUAAUAACCUUAGCAAUUGACGUUAGCGACAGAAGAAGCACCGGCUAACUCCGUGCCAGCAGCCGCGGUAAUACGGAGGGUGCGAGCGUUAAUCGGAAUUACUGGGCGUAAAGGGCACGCAGGCGGUUAAUUAAGUUGGAUGUGAAAUCCCCGGGCUUAACCUGGGAAUGGCAUUCAAGACUGGUUAGCUAGAGUCUUGUAGAGGGGGUGAAUUCCAUGUGUAGCGGUGAAAUGCGUAGAGAUGUGGAGGAAUACCGGUGGCGAAGGCGGCCCCUGGACAAAGACUGACGCUCAUGUGCGAAAGCGUGGGGAGCAAACGAGGGAUUAGAUACC